ACAUCGCCUCCUGCAACUGCAUUGAGUAUAGGAGGUCCAGCCUGCCCAGUGACUACGGGUUCAACGGCCGCGGUAUUUUGACCGUGCAAAGGUAGCGCAAUCACUUGUCUCUUAAAUAGAGACCUGUAUGAAUGGCUAGACGAGGGCUUAACUGUCUCCCCCCUCCAGUCAGUGAAAUUGAUCUAUCCGUGCAGAAGCGGGUUUAACUAUACAAGACGAGAAGACCCUUUGGAGCUUAAGGUACAAAAUUCAACCACGUUAAACAACUCCACAAAAAGCAAGAACUUAGUGGCGAGUGAAAUUUUACCUUCGGUUGGGGCGACCACGGAGGAGAAAAAAGCCUCCGAGUGGACUGGGCCAAAUCCCAAAGCCAAUAGAUACAUCUAUAAGCCACAGAACAUCUGACCAAUAAUGAUCCGGCUGAAAAGCCGAUCAACGAACCAAGUUACCCUAGGGAUAACAGCGCAAUCCUCUCCCAGAGUCCAUAUCGACGAGGGGGUUUACGACCUCGAUGUUGGAUCAGGACAUCCUAAUGGUGCAGCCGCUAUUAAGGGUUCGUUUGUUCAACGAUUAAAGUCCUACGUGAUCU
RNAcentral lists this ribosomal RNA (589 nucleotides) under Notemigonus crysoleucas (golden shiner). RNAcentral's name for it is "partial large subunit ribosomal RNA". It matches the Rfam family "Bacterial large subunit ribosomal RNA", at positions 1813 to 2606 of the family's 2925-position model. The record is from RNAcentral. Lineage: Eukaryota; Metazoa; Chordata; Actinopteri; Cypriniformes; Leuciscidae.